ACGCUCGACACCUACUGGAGGCAGCAGUGGGGAAUAUUGCACAAUGGGGGGAACCCUGAUGCAGCGACGCCGCGUGAGGGAAGAAGGUUUUCGGAUUGUAAACCUCUGUCCUUGGUGACGAUAAUGACGGUAGCCAAGGAGGAAGCCACGGCUAACUACGUGCCAGCAGCCGCGGUAAUCUGAGGCGGGCUGGACAAGGC
Molecule: ribosomal RNA, 200 nt
Filed under: uncultured bacterium
Lineage: Bacteria
Description: partial 16S ribosomal RNA
Rfam family: Bacterial small subunit ribosomal RNA
Source: RNAcentral